CCUACGGGUGGCAGCAGUGAGGAAUAUUGGUCAAUGGACGAGAGUCUGAACCAGCCACGUAGCGUGAAGGAUGACUGCCCUCUGGGUUGUAAACUUCUUUUAUAUGGGAAUAAAAUGUUCCACGUGUGGGAUUUUGUAUGUACCAUAUGAUUAAGGAUCGGCUAACUCCGUUCCAGCAGCCGCGGUAAUACGGUGGAUGCGAGCGUUAUCCGGAUUUAUUGGGUUUAACGGGUGCGCAGGCGGUCUGUUAAGUCAGGGGUGAAAGCCCGGGGCUCAACCCCAGUCCGCCGUUGAAACUGGCAGGCUCGAGUGGGAGAGAAGGAUGCGGAAUGCGCGGUGUAGCGGUGAAAUGCAUAGAUAUAGCGCAGAACUCCGAUUGCGAAGGCAGCAUGCCGGCUCCACACUGACGCUGAGGCACGAAAGCGUGGGUAUCGAACAGGAGUAGAUACCCUUGUAGUC
RNAcentral lists this ribosomal RNA (459 nucleotides) under uncultured bacterium. RNAcentral describes it as "partial 16S ribosomal RNA". It matches the Rfam family "Bacterial small subunit ribosomal RNA", at positions 338 to 795 of the family's 1533-position model. The record is from RNAcentral.